GAUGAACGCUGGCGGCGUGCUUAACACAUGCAAGUCGAACGGAAAGGCCCAAGCUUGCUUGGGUACUCGAGUGGCGAACGGGUGAGUAACACGUGGGUGAUCUGCCCUGCACUUCGGGAUAAGCCUGGGAAACUGGGUCUAAUACCGGAUAGGACCACAUUUUGGAUGGUGUGGUGGAAAGUUUUUCGGUGUGGGAUGAGCUCGCGGCCUAUCAGCUUGUUGGUGGGGUAAUGGCCUACCAAGGCGUCGACGGGUAGCCGGCCUGAGAGGGUGUACGGCCACAUUGGGACUGAGAUACGGCCCAGACUCCUACGGGAGGCAGCAGUGGGGAAUAUUGCACAAUGGGCGCAAGCCUGAUGCAGCGACGCCGCGUGGGGGAUGACGGCCUUCGGGUUGUAAACUCCUAUCGCUAGGGACGAAGCGUUAUGUGACGGUACCUGGAGAAGAAGCACCGGCUAACUACG
Molecule: ribosomal RNA, 464 nt
Filed under: uncultured bacterium
Lineage: Bacteria
Description: partial 16S ribosomal RNA
Rfam family: Bacterial small subunit ribosomal RNA
Source: RNAcentral